GCUCGGAUGGUGGAACAGGUAGACACGCAAGACUUAAAAUUUUGUGACCAUUGUGGUCAUGCGGGUUCAAAUCCCGCUCCGAGUA
This 85-nucleotide transfer RNA is filed under the name Azobacteroides pseudotrichonymphae (SeqCode). Its description in RNAcentral is "Candidatus Azobacteroides pseudotrichonymphae tRNA-Leu". It matches the Rfam family "tRNA". From Rfam's summary of the family: Transfer RNA (tRNA) molecules are approximately 80 nucleotides in length. Their secondary structure includes four short double-helical elements and three loops (D, anti-codon, and T loops). Further hydrogen bonds mediate the characteristic L-shaped molecular structure. tRNAs have two regions of fundamental functional importance: the anti-codon, which is responsible for specific mRNA codon recognition, and the 3' end, to which the tRNAs corresponding amino acid is attached (by aminoacyl-tRNA synthetases). tRNAs cope with the degeneracy of the genetic code in two manners: having more than one tRNA (with a specific anti-codon) for a particular amino acid; and 'wobble' base-pairing, i.e. permitting non-standard base-pairing at the 3rd anti-codon position. RNAcentral also lists the same sequence under 1 other name. The record is from RNAcentral. Lineage: Bacteria; Pseudomonadati; Bacteroidota; Bacteroidia; Bacteroidales.